This 443-nucleotide ribosomal RNA is filed under the name uncultured soil bacterium. Its description in RNAcentral is "bacterial SSU rRNA". It matches the Rfam family "Bacterial small subunit ribosomal RNA", at positions 26 to 518 of the family's 1533-position model. The record is from RNAcentral.
AGAACGAACGCUGGCGGCAUGCCUAACACAUGCAAGUCGAACGAGACCUUCGGGUCUAGUGGCGCACGGGUGCGUAACGCGUGGGAACCUGCCCUUAGGUUCGGAAUAACUCAGAGAAAUUUGAGCUAAUACCGGAUAAUGUCUUCGGACCAAAGAUUUAUCGCCUAUGGAUGGGCCCGCGUAGGAUUAGCUAGUUGGUGGGGUAAAGGCCUACCAAGGCGACGAUCCUUAGCUGGUCUGAGAGGAUGAUCAGCCACACUGGGACUGAGACACGGCCCAGACUCCUACGGGAGGCAGCAGUGGGGAAUAUUGGACAAUGGGCGAAAGCCUGAUCCAGCAAUGCCGCGUGAGUGAUGAAGGCUUAGGGUGUAAAGCUCUUUACCGGGAUGAUAAUGACAGUACCGGAGAAUAAGCUACCGGCUAACGUCCGCGCCAGCAGCCGC